Molecule: transfer RNA, 87 nt
Filed under: Parcubacteria group bacterium ADurb.Bin115
Lineage: Bacteria
Also listed under: 2 other names
Description: tRNA-Leu
Rfam family: tRNA
About the family: Transfer RNA (tRNA) molecules are approximately 80 nucleotides in length. Their secondary structure includes four short double-helical elements and three loops (D, anti-codon, and T loops).
Source: RNAcentral
GGGCGGAUGGUGAAAUUGGUAGACACGCAAGCUUGAGGGGCUUGUGGCCGCAAGGCCGUGGAGGUUCAAAUCCUCUUUCGCCCACCA